AUUGAACGCUGGCGGCAUGCCUUACACAUGCAAGUCGAACGGCAGCGCGGGAGCAAUCCUGGCGGCGAGUGGCGAACGGGUGAGUAACAUAUCGGAACGUGCCCUGGAGUGGGGGAGUAACUAGUCGAAAGAUUAGCUAAUACCGCAUACGAUCUACGGAUGAAAGUAGGGGGAGUCGCAAGACCUCAUGCUCGUGGAGCGGCCGAUAUCUGAUUAGCUAGUUGGUAGGGUAAAAGGACCUACCAAGGCGACGAUCAGUAGCUGGUCUGAGAGGAC
RNAcentral lists this ribosomal RNA (276 nucleotides) under uncultured bacterium. Its description in RNAcentral is "partial 16S ribosomal RNA". It matches the Rfam family "Bacterial small subunit ribosomal RNA", at positions 30 to 301 of the family's 1533-position model. The record is from RNAcentral.